Fukomys damarensis (Damara mole-rat) is the source of this 4256-nucleotide long non-coding RNA. RefSeq lists it as uncharacterized. The record is from RefSeq and is a predicted model, not a curated record. NCBI's taxonomy places the organism in Eukaryota, Metazoa, Chordata, Mammalia, Rodentia, Bathyergidae. The transcript is spliced from 4 exons.
CGUGUGUCUUUGCGUGUGUCACCCACGGUGAGAGUUUUCUUCUCACUCUGAGUUCUGGCUCAGCUUCCAGAGUGGAAGGCAGAGUGUGAUAGGAUGCCUCGGUGUGCAUGGUUUAAGAGUCACUUGCAGAGAACUGGGUGUUUCUCGGCUUGCUGGAAUCACAGGACAAGAUCCCGGCACCUCGCUGGGUGUUGGGAGGCUGCAGAAACCCAGGCUUUCUCUCUGGACACAGUGACAAAGAGCUAGGCGUUUGUGACCUCAGGGGUUUGGGCUGACUGAAACUCUGGUGAUUGAUUCUUCCCUGAAAGAGUCCAAGGCUGGAACUGGAGUUGCUUGACGGCGAGAUCAAAGAUUGUGGCUACAAAAGGAGCGGUCAGUCCUGAGAGCAGUCGGUGGGCAGGAGAAAUGGAUUGCUUCCCCAAGCCAGAGGCAAGAGCUGGACGGUGGCCAGGUGUGAGUCAGUAGGAAGGAACGCUAGGCCAGGAGGCACUCCUCUCUGAGUACCGCCUGGGCAAAAGUGGAGCGCCAGUGGCGAGUCAUCUGCUGGCCAGAAAUGUACUGCUUGAGUUAAGAAACAGGACAACAUUAGCCAGACGACGGGGUGAGAGCAGAGAAGAGAAUGAGGAACUGCCAGAUCCAAGCCCAGACAAACAGCAUUUGGGCACCCGCCAUGACAGAAGGCCCACAUUUCAUGUUGCAAGCGCACCCGUCCCUCCAGAGUGUGUCCUCCUCCCUCUCAUUCUUCCCCUCCCCCUCCUAAGGGAGCCAUCCGGAGUGUGGGGAGGGGGCUGGGCUGCUGGAGGAGCAAGGGGCGAGGACGGUGAGGCAAACUGUGGAGACUGUGGAGGGCCUGGGCUGGAUGGGGGCUGGGACGGGGAGAAGUGGGAGAGACGGGACUGCGACGUACUUCUGUGAGUACCUAUAAGUACUUUGCGUAAGGUACGUUUUAUAUGAGCUCCUUUCUGUCAGUCCAAGUGAGACGAAGCUGGGUCGAGCAGACAGAGACAAGGAGGCCAGGAGGCGGGUUUAUGGCCCUGGUGGGGACUGUUUUCAACUCACCUCUCUCCAUGCACGGCCACUUCAUAACCUGCUCCAAUCGCCGGGGCAAACCUUCCUAUGCCAAGCUCAGCUCCCAGUGCCACGUGGCUCUGUCUUGCAGCGGCAGUUCCGUGCUGCUCUGCUCACCACACUCUGAGCUCUAGGUCGUUGGAGACGUUCUUCUCGUGGCCUGGUAGAAUACUGAUGUUUUCUCUCUCCGCUGUCGUUGCCUUCCAGAGUGUACAAUGUGGUCAGCGUCAGAGCCACGUCUUCCAGUGAUGACUCUUCAUGUUCAAAUCACUUCCCGCCUGGGUCAAAUAAGAGAAUGGAAAGAAUGUUAGUGUAUAAUAACGCCAUCCUUAACAAGUGGACUGAAGACGCAGGACGAGCCUGGCACUUGUUCGCCCUAAAACGGAAAUUGUCUGCGUGGCACACUGGGCAGGUGGGGACUGGAACCUGACUGCAGGGAUCUCUGGCACAGAUCUUCUAAGUACAGCACCUAAAAUGUACCUGAUUUUGAAGUUCUUGGUCCUGAUUGAUCCUUCUCCUCCGGCAAAGGACCGAAGACCGGGAGGGCUGCACUGAAGGGAUUCAACGUGUGACGGACGCGUAGGAAAGGACCUUGAAGGGGAGGAACGAGGCAGCACUUCCUCCUGGGAACACCGAGAGUGGAGCCCCAGUAUCUGGAACCUGAGUGACGGACGAACUUGUACAUUUUAUUAUAAAAAUCUCGGUGUGAAACCUGUCACUCUCAACACGGCCAGCACACAAGUGAGUGUGCCUCUUCAUCUCAGCUCUGGGCUCUCCACACAGUAGGCACUCAGAGUCCUUGUGCGCCAACUUUGCCUACAGAAAACAAUCCUUUCAGAAAAGUGACCCCUCUAGUGGCCAAACUACAUCAGCACAUUUUUCUCUACUCCAAUCAACUCAAAAGAGGAGCCACAGUUUGGCAAAUGCAAAAAGUAAGAAUUAAAUUUUGGUCUCUUAAUCUUCUUAUAUGAUAACAACACCAGUGCUUAUCUUUUGUAUGCCUUUGGAGUAAAGACAAAGGAAACGUGAAAAAGAAAUCAACUAGUACUCUUGCUUUGCUACAUUUUUGUGCACUGGUAACAGGGAAUAUAGCUUAAUGCUAUACUUUUCCUACUCGGAAUCUAGUAGAUUCUUGAUACAUUUACAGGAUUGCCUUGUUUAUGUUUGUCUUGAUGCCACAUAUUUCCACAGAAGCAUAUUUUCAUUCAUCUCUUCAUGUUAAUGGAGCUUAACAUUUGUUGAAAAAUUACUGUUAUUUGCUCAAAACAUUCUUAGCAUUUUUGCAUUACUUACAUGAUUUUGCAAGAUUUUUGUUUGUUUGCUUGUUUUUGUUUUGUUUUCUUCUUUUGGUACCGGGAUCGAACUCAGGACCUUGAGCUUUCGAAGCAGGUGGUGGAAUUGCUGAGCUAAAAUCCCCAACCCAGCUUACAUGAUUUUGGAGGAGAUAAAAUAAAUGACUCCAGUUUUCACACGUGCUACGUGUAACCCCUUUGGGAAUUGCUUUCCUAGUAGUUUCAUGAUGCAACAAUGAUUUAUGGGUCGGCUUUGAUCUCAAGUUGACGAGACACUAUAGGCUUUGGCUGUGGUAAGCUCCUAUUCAGAGGGACUUAGUUAUAUUCAAGAGGGCCUUUGAGAUGGGAAUGACUUGGGCUCACCUUAUUCAAAGCAUGUGUGAAUGGGGGUUCUUUUAUUUAAAGAGUCUCCUGUGGUCAUCCUGAUCGUGUGUAUGUGAAUUUAUUCAUUCGUCAAGUCUUCAGGGGACGUUAGCACAUGCUGGAGUUUAGAAACAAGGGCAGCGAAGGGGAGUGGGUGUGAAAGCAGUAAGUCGAGGUGGCUGCUGGAAUUUGAGUCAGAGGGUUACCUUAGCCGGGUGCUGUUAGGAGGCAGUGGAGGUGAUGCACAUGAGGCAUGCCUGUGAGAGGUCCUCCGGUCACCGGGGUGUGCUUGAGGCCAAUGGCUCAUUCUGGCUCACUCUCUGCCAUGACUUGCUGCCUUGCCACAGCCCCAAAACCACAGGGCCAGGCAGUCAUGAACUGAAAGUACCAAAACUGUAAGCUAAAUAAAACUUUUCUCUAUAUAAAUUGAUUUUCUCGGGUUCCAUACUUACAGGAAUGGACAGCUAGCUGAUGAAAUAGAGAUUGUCCCAAAAUCUUGUGGUAGCAGGGGCAUGAGUCAUCCACACAACACAAGGAGUUUUAGAAAGCUUCCGGAAGGAGAUAAUGCUUGGGCUGUGAAUUAAUAUGGAGAUGGACAUGAGAGAGGAAAGGAAAAAUUGCAAGUAAAAGGUAAUAGGAAAGUAGGGUAGAACGGGAUGUUUGGUAGGAAGUCCAGGCAUGACUGAUGUGAGACAUCCCAGCAAUUUAGACACACAGCGGAAGUGCUGAGAAAUGUAGAAAAAACGGCAGUCAAUCCAGUCCUGAAGUCAUGCCAUGUUAUUUUGUUAGAGUGGAAAGAGGUCAAGGAAUUUUAAGACGGGGAAAAGAUGCGGUUGAAUUUGCCUGAAAGAAGUGUGAAUUGGAGAAACAUAAGACUAGAAAAAGCAAGACCAACUCAGAGGCAACUUAAAUAACUCGCAUAAAGAUAGUGAAGGCCUUAGACAGAACAGCGGUCAGGACUAGAAGGGAGAGAGGGAUCUGGGAAAACAUUUAGAAGAUACAGUCAUCAGUUUGUGAGCUCAGAGAGGAAAGGAAUUAAGGAUGACUUUGCGGGCCCUAGACUGGGUGAUGAAUUAACCACAAUUGUUGAUGUUUGUCUGUUUGUUGUCCUACAGUUACUCUGGUUCUGAAGCUCAGAUCAGGAGGGUUAGGUGUGGAAUCACCAGGCAGACUCCAGGAAGGUUUCUGUUUUUAAUAGGCAGAGCAAUUGCUUAUAUAAUCAAGGAGCUAGGGGAGGGACACUGUAUGCUGGGCACAACAUGAUUGGUUGAUGCUCUCCUACUUCUACAUAAGGUGAUCUUCUGGGUGAGUGAUGGAGGCAGUGAAUAAAGUCUCAACACAUGAGAGUAAGCAUUCUCAAACUCCUGAGUAUCCCCUAGCCUGCUAGGAGAGGUGCGUGCGAUGCACUUGGCUCAGCCAUGCUUGAAUUUCUCUCACACACAAUGAUUCCAUUUACAAGUCCCAGGAAACCUAUGUAAAAGUACAAAUUCCUAAUGAUGAAUGUAUAUCUUGCAUACCUAAAAUGUACCAAAA